CUUUAAUCCAGACUCUGUCUCUUUCAAUGUCCAUACUAAUAGGCAUCCUGUUGGAUUUAACAAGGCCACAGUGCCUAAUCCUUCUUCUCCUUUCAGAGAAAGAGUCAAUUUUGAUCAAACCAGAGGACCUUUAUUCUGUAGAUACUGUAAAAAAUCUGGACACUUAAUUGAUAAGUGUUUCAAGAUCCAUAAGUAUCCACAAAGUACAAAUUUUAACAAGGGGAGGAGACCUGCUGUUGCUCAUCUUAGUGCUGGUCUGGAUUUCCCUCAUUCUGAAGGACAUAUGUCUGUUCCCCAAUGGAAUCCUCCUGAAAGCCAUCAAUCUGUUCCAAAAAUAGAUGGCCAGAGUUCUGUGAUACCAGNNN
This 365-nucleotide long non-coding RNA is filed under the name Nicotiana benthamiana. RNAcentral describes it as "long non-coding RNA (NBEN_LNC019052)". Lineage: Eukaryota; Viridiplantae; Streptophyta; Magnoliopsida; Solanales; Solanaceae. The record is from RNAcentral.